AGAGUUUGAUCAUGGCUCAGAUUGAACGCUGGCGGCAGGCCUAACACAUGCAAGUCGAACGGUAACAGGAAGCAGCUUGCUGCUUCGCUGACGAGUGGCGGACGGGUGAGUAAUGUCUGGGAAGCUGCCUGAUGGAGGGGGAUAACUACUGGAAACGGUAGCUAAUACCGCAUAAUGUCGCAAGACCAAAGAGGGGGACCUUCGGGCCUCUUGCCAUCGGAUGUGCCCAGAUGGGAUUAGCUUGUUGGUGGGGUAACGGCUCACCAAGGCGACGAUCCCUAGCUGGUCUGAGAGGAUGACCAGCCACACUGGAACUGAGACACGGUCCAGACUCCUACGGGAGGCAGCAGUGGGGAAUAUUGCACAAUGGGCGCAAGCCUGAUGCAGCCAUGCCGCGUGUAUGAAGAAGGCCUUCGGGUUGUAAAGUACUUUCAGCGGGGAGGAAGGGAGUAAAGUUAAUACCUUUGCUCAUUGACGUUACCCGCAGAAGAAGCACCGGCUAACUCCGUGCCAGCAGCCGCGGUAAUACGGAAGGUGCAAGCGUUAAUCGGAAUUACUGGGCGUAAAGCGCACGCAGGCGGUUUGUUAAGUCAGAUGUGAAAUCCCCGGGCUCAACCUGGGAACUGCAUCUGAUACUGGCAAGCUUGAGUCUCGUAGAGGGGGGUAGAAUUCCAGGUGUAGCGGUGAAAUGCGUAGAGAUCUGGAGGAAUACCGGUGGCGAAGGCGGCCCCCUGGACGAAGACUGACGCUCAGGUGCGAAAGCGUGGGGAGCAAACAGGAUUAGAUACCCUGGUAGUCCACGCCGUAAACGAUGUCGACUUGGAGGUUGUGCCCUUGAGGCGUGGCUUCCGGAGCUAACGCGUUAAGUCGACGCCUGGGGAGUACGGCCGCAAGGUUAAAACUCAAAUGAAUUGACGGGGGCCCGCACAAGCGGUGGAGCAUGUGGUUUAAUUCGAUGCAACGCGAAGAACCUUACCUGGUCUUGACAUCCACGGAAGUUUUCAGAGAUGAGAAUGUGCCUUCGGGAACCGUGAGACAGGUGCUGCAUGGCUGUCGUCAGCUCGUGUUGUGAAAUGUUGGGUUAAGUCCCGCAACGAGCGCAACCCUUAUCCUUUGUUGCCAGCGGUCCGGCCGGGAACUCAAAGGAGACUGCCAGUGAUAAACUGGAGGAAGGUGGGGAUGACGUCAAGUCAUCAUGGCCCUUACGACCAGGGCUACACACGUGCUACAAUGGCGCAUACAAAGAGAAGCGACCUCGCGAGAGCAAGCGGACCUCAUAAAGUGCGUCGUAGUCCGGAUUGGAGUCUGCAACUCGACUCCAUGAAGUCGGAAUCGCUAGUAAUCGUGGAUCAGAAUGCCACGGUGAAUACGUUCCCGGGCCUUGUACACACCGCCCGUCACACCAUGGGAGUGGGUUGCAAAAGAAGUAGGUAGCUUAACCUUCGGGAGGGCGCUUACCACUUUGUGAUUCAUGACUGGGGUGAAGUCGAAACAAGGUA
RNAcentral lists this ribosomal RNA (1499 nucleotides) under metagenome. RNAcentral's name for it is "bacterial SSU rRNA". It matches the Rfam family "Bacterial small subunit ribosomal RNA". The record is from RNAcentral.